GGAGUUAGGAAAUGUAAGUGCGCUAAUAUCGCAUUUAUUUGACGAAGGCUCCAAAGGAAGUCACGGCUAACUCUGUGCCAGCAGCCGCGGUAAUACAGAGGUGGCAAGCGUUGUUCGGAAUUAUUGGGCGUAAAGAGCACGUAGGUGGGUUUGUAAGUCAGAUGUGAAAGCCUUCUGUUCAACGGAAGAAUUGCAUCUGAAACUGCGAGUCUUGAGUGUAGGAGGGGAGAGUGGAAC
Molecule: ribosomal RNA, 237 nt
Filed under: uncultured Planctomycetales bacterium
Lineage: Bacteria; Pseudomonadati; Planctomycetota; Planctomycetia; Planctomycetales
Description: partial 16S ribosomal RNA
Rfam family: Bacterial small subunit ribosomal RNA
Source: RNAcentral